GCCAUCAGUCUGUGACUUGAUCUUGUCCAUGACCAGAUCCGGGUGGUUACACAGUUUCUUCAAAGAGGUUAUAGAUGACAGAGCUGACAGUGAAACUUUUCCUUCACUGCUUGUUCCUGGAAACCAUCAUCAGGACAAAUCUUGGUUAUUCAGAGGAGUAUUCAGGGAAGCAAUGAUUAUGAAAACUCACUGAGUAAAGGAAUAAAUAAUGAAAGUACUAAAUAAUGUACUGUCUAUAUAAUUUUCUUUACACUUUCCAUCAUUAUCUUUUUUUUAAUUUAUUGCCAAUAAAAAUAUUAAUAUUGG
Homalodisca vitripennis (glassy-winged sharpshooter) is the source of this 306-nucleotide long non-coding RNA. RefSeq lists it as uncharacterized. The record is from RefSeq and is a predicted model, not a curated record. The transcript is spliced from 2 exons. Lineage: Eukaryota; Metazoa; Arthropoda; Insecta; Hemiptera; Cicadellidae.